GUGAGUCAUCGAAUCUUUGAACGCACCUUGCGCUCCUUGGCAUUCCGAGGAGCAUGCCUGUUUGAGUGUCAUGAAUUCAUCAACCCCGAAGGGAUUUUUUGUCCCUCUCGGUGGCUUGGACUUGGGGGAUUCUUUGCUGGCCUUCGAUCGGUCGGCUCCCCUUGAAUGCAUUAGCUUGGACUUGUCCUGGCGACGUCAUAGCGUGAUAACUAUCUACGCUUUGAACCGUCUGCUGGUACCUCGUCGGUCUGGCUUCCAAUCGUCUUCGGACAAAUUACCAUUCAUUUUGACCUCAAAUCACGGUAGGUACUACCCGCUGAACUUAAGCAUAUCAAUAAGCGGAGG
This 345-nucleotide ribosomal RNA is filed under the name uncultured fungus. RNAcentral describes it as "eukaryotic LSU rRNA". The stretch from base 1 to 71 matches the Rfam family "5.8S ribosomal RNA", at positions 84 to 154 of the family's 154-position model. Lineage: Eukaryota; Fungi. The record is from RNAcentral.